CACGAUCGUUGCCAUUUUAGCAACUACCGUGUAUGAAUCAUGCACCACCGUUGUCAUUUUUUUUACUCGUGUGCAAUCGGCUGCAUAUUUACCAUUUUUUCCGUGUUAUUGAAAGAGAAAGGACGCAUUGUGCAAAAAAUUUAUUGAAAAUGAAUAAUAAUUCGCAAGAUCCUCAAAAUAUCAUUGGUGAGUUGUUAGAAAUCGAUGGCAAUAUUGUUGUGGUUCGCGAUACAAACCAUUGCAGCAGUCAAGAUGCGGAAAACAAUGAGGACGAUUAUAUGUUAAGGGAGUUCUUAAAAGGAAUAAAUAUGGAGUCGCUUUUUGAACAAUUAAAAGCAUCACAUGUAACAUUUCGCAGCUUGCAGUACUUGAAAAAAGAAGAUUUAAAGGAAGCAGUGCCACCAUUGGGACUGCGUGUUGAAUUCAGAGAAAAGCUCUUUGCUUGGAAAAAACGAAAGCUCGGGAUUGAUGACGAAACUAUGUCAGUUCCAUCUAAAAUAGGUGAAUGGUGGAAACGCAACGAGACACCUGCAAGUACUCCUGGUACUCCCGACACUACAGGUUCGAACUGCUCAAAAGCCAAAGGAAUUUUGUCAGAGGAUCUAACGGAAUUGUUAACACAUACCUCGAAGGGGAAACUAGCGCUUGAAUGUAGUAGCGUUAAUAAGAAAUUAAGUGACGAGCAAAGAGAUGAUAUAAUUAAUAUAAUUAUUGAAGAUAUUUUAACCAACAAUGUUACUCUUUACACUCAAGACUAUAUGCGCAUAUUGGAUGAAAUUUGUUCCGUUUUUCCUCUUGAAAACGAAAUGAGGGUAAGAUUAACAAUAUAAACAACGUAUCUGAUUAUGUAGUUUCUUAACUUAUAAUAUGUCUUUAUUUUUAGGAUUAUUAUUACAUUUCAAGAAAAGGAAAGAACAACGCAAGCGGAAAACUUUAUGCCAAGUAUAGAAACAAGAAGUCCAAAAGAAUAAAGCUUUUGAUUUCCGAGCCUAGCACAAGCAAAGCAGCAACUCACACAUCUCCUAAUUUUUGUAACAAAGAUGUUCCCGAAAUUGAUGAAUCAGUUGAAAAUUCAUUGAAAGCUUCCUUACUAAGAGAAUGUAAUGAUUGGGGAUCGAUCUGCGAAAAAUGGAAAAGAUCUUUUAACAUACGGCAAAGAGAUAUAAAAAAUUUAAGUAGCCAUACAUUUCUCCUUGAAUGGACGAAGUUGUCCGAUGCAAGAGCUUCAGAAUUGGUCAACAUUGAUUUCGAUAUUAUGUAUCCACAGAAAGGCAAUCUUCUACUUUCUAAAUGGGACCAAUUUAAGAAAAAAAUUUACAAUUAUUAUGGGAAAAAUAUUCAUAACGAACAUUGCAAACAACUCUUCGCAAAUGUUUUGACGGCAAGCAGCAUAGAUGCUCAAGAUUAUAUAUACGCAAUACUGUUGAAUUCAGUUUUACCAUCACCUGCUAGGUUUAAAUGUGGAAACGGUAAAUUACGAAAAAAAGUAACAAUAGCUGAUUCGCAGGAAAGUUUCGUACUGCGACUACCGACAAUUAACGAUUAUAAAAGGCAAAUUGAUACAGUCACUGAAAAGUAUUACAAUGCUGGAUUAACUAUACAGCCAUUUAUAAUUGUGGAGGGUUUGUCCGAUUUCAAUAUAAAAGGUUUUUAUGUUUUUUUUAACCACAAUUUGUUAAAAUUUCAAUCGUUCCUCGAAUGUUUAGAUACAUGUUUUAAAAUUUUUCAUGCACUUUCUUUAAAAUAUCCAAAUGCCUGCCAAAUUCCAUGGAUUUUUAUCCAAAAAUAUUUUUAUGAAAUUAAUACUGUAUAUGAUAUAAAAUCAGUUAAUUUGACUUCACUUAUUAAUUUCUGCAACAAUAAUUAAAGUACAAUUCAAAAUGUAUAUUUGCUUUCGUUGCCGUAAGCAUUUUGAUAAGGCAAAUCUUUUAAUAGCUCAUUUGAAAACAGACCAUUUAAUGUCCACUAAAUUUUUAAAAGUACAAUGCGUUCAGGACAACUGUAAGCAAACAUUUACAAAAUUUACGUCAUUCAGAAUUCAUUUAGAAAAACUUCACAAGAAUCACACAAAAGCUCCACCAAUGGUUAAAGCCAUUAAUGUGCCAGUUGAAAUGUCAUCAUCAAAAGAAAAUGAUUAUACAAACAGUGAAACUGUUAUUAACAACAAUACAAUAGAAAAGGAUUUAAAUGUUUUGAAAAAGAAAACCUUAUAUCUGUCUUUACAAUUACAUGGUCAAAGCUAUAUGCCUAGAAAUCAUGUUAUAGAAAUACAACAUUCUGUUUCAAUUCUGCUUUCAUCCAUUUCAUGUACAAUUGAAAAAUAUAUAACUGAUCAUCCAAAUUAUGAAGACUUAAGGUACUUACUAAACUUUUGUAAAAAUCCUUUCGAAGAAACUAGAACGGAAUAUAGACUUUUAAAAAUUUUAAAAGAACUAAACUUUUAUGAUGAUCCAAAGGUUUAUGUAAUUAGCAAUCAAGUCUCGGAAAUUGUUAUCAGCGGAAAUCCCAGUUUAGGUCCAAAGUUAUCCAAUAUUUAUAUAAUGCCACUGAAAUUCAUGAUAAGUGCCCUUUUUAAAAUUCCAAAUCUCUUAGAUUUGACAUUAGAAAACUCCAAAAAAAUCCUAAAUUCACCUGUUUUACAAAAUUUUACAAACGGUGAGUUAUAUAAAACUAAAUUAUUAAAAUAUCAGUACAAUUUAGUUAUUCCCUAUGUCCUUUACAUGGAUGAUUUUCAAAUUAAUAAUCCUCUUGGAACCCAUACAUUUUCCAUAUGUGGUUGUUAUAUUAGCUUUCCUUCAAUGCCACAGCACUUGUUGUCAAAACUUGAUUAUAUAUUAACUGCUGCGUUUAUACCAUCAAAGGAUUUAAAAGAACGUGGAAAUGAAGUUUCAUUUCACAAUCUUGUAGAAGAGUUAAAAAUUCUAGAAGAAGGGGUUGAAAUUUGUGUUCAACAAAGUGUUCAGAAGGUGCAUUUUAUUUUAGGUGUAAUUAUUGGAGAUAAUUUAGCAGUUAAUAGUAUUUUAGGCUACGUGCAAUCAUUUAACUCUAAAAGAUUUUGCCGGGUAUGUAGAAGA
This is an RNA transcript of Musca domestica (house fly), 3074 nucleotides long. RefSeq lists it as uncharacterized. The transcript has 6 exons. The record is from RefSeq and is a predicted model, not a curated record. NCBI's taxonomy places the organism in Eukaryota, Metazoa, Arthropoda, Insecta, Diptera, Muscidae.